Molecule: signal recognition particle RNA, 276 nt
Filed under: Staphylococcus aureus
Lineage: Bacteria; Bacillati; Bacillota; Bacilli; Caryophanales; Staphylococcaceae
Also listed under: 3 other names
Rfam family: Bacterial large signal recognition particle RNA
About the family: The signal recognition particle (SRP) is a universally conserved ribonucleoprotein involved in the co-translational targeting of proteins to membranes. Archaeal SRP consists of a 7S RNA and homologues of the eukaryotic SRP19 and SRP54 proteins. In most bacteria, the SRP consists of a 4.5S RNA and the Ffh protein (a homologue of the eukaryotic SRP54 protein).
Source: RNAcentral
CUUGCCGUGCUAGGUGGGGAGGUAGCGGUUCCCUGUACUCGAAAUCCGCUUUAUGCGAGGCUUAAUUCCUUUGUUGAGGCCGUAUUUUUGCGAAGUCUGCCCAAAGCACGUAGUGUUUGAAGAUUUCGGUCCUAUGCAAUAUGAACCCAUGAACCAUGUCAGGUCCUGACGGAAGCAGCAUUAAGUGGAUCAUCAUAUGUGCCGUAGGGUAGCCGAGAUUUAGCUAACGACUUUGGUUACGUUCGUGAAUUACGUUCGAUGCUUAGGUGCACGGUU